ACUUAGCUCAGCGGUAGAGCAAUCGGCUGUUAACCGAUCGGUCGGAGGUUCGAACCCUCUAGU
RNAcentral lists this transfer RNA (63 nucleotides) under bovine gut metagenome. It matches the Rfam family "tRNA", at positions 5 to 66 of the family's 71-position model. Rfam says of the family: Transfer RNA (tRNA) molecules are approximately 80 nucleotides in length. Their secondary structure includes four short double-helical elements and three loops (D, anti-codon, and T loops). Further hydrogen bonds mediate the characteristic L-shaped molecular structure. tRNAs have two regions of fundamental functional importance: the anti-codon, which is responsible for specific mRNA codon recognition, and the 3' end, to which the tRNAs corresponding amino acid is attached (by aminoacyl-tRNA synthetases). tRNAs cope with the degeneracy of the genetic code in two manners: having more than one tRNA (with a specific anti-codon) for a particular amino acid; and 'wobble' base-pairing, i.e. permitting non-standard base-pairing at the 3rd anti-codon position. The record is from RNAcentral.